Molecule: ribosomal RNA, 560 nt
Filed under: uncultured bacterium
Lineage: Bacteria
Also listed under: 1 other name
Description: bacterial SSU rRNA
Rfam family: Bacterial small subunit ribosomal RNA
Source: RNAcentral
CCUACGGGAGGCAGCAGUGGGGAAUCUUGCGCAAUGGGCGAAAGCCUGACGCAGCCAUGCCGCGUGAAUGAUGAAGGUCUUAGGAUUGUAAAAUUCUUUCACCGGGGACGAUAAUGACGGUACCCGGAGAAGAAGCCCCGGCUAACUUCGUGCCAGCAGCCGCGGUAAUACGAAGGGGGCUAGCGUUGCUCGGAAUUACUGGGCGUAAAGGGCGCGUAGGCGGAUCGUUAAGUCAGAGGUGAAAUCCCGGAGCUCAACUUCGGAACUGCCUUUGAUACUGGCGAUCUUGAGUGUGAGAGAGGUAUGUGGAACUCCGAGUGUAGAGGUGAAAUUCGUAGAUAUUCGGAAGAACACCAGUGGCGAAGGCGACAUACUGGCUCAUUACUGACGCUGAGGCGCGAAAGCGUGGGGAGCAAACAGGAUUAGAUACCCUGGUAGUCCACGCCGUAAACGAUGAUUGCUAGUUGUCGGGCUGCAUGCAGUUCGGUGACGCAGCUAACGCAUUAAGCAAUCCGCCUGGGGAGUACGGUCGCAAGAUUAAAACUCAAAGGAAUUGACGG